Molecule: ribosomal RNA, 1499 nt
Filed under: uncultured bacterium
Lineage: Bacteria
Description: partial 16S rRNA
Rfam family: Bacterial small subunit ribosomal RNA
Source: RNAcentral
AGAGUUUGAUCCUGGCUCAGGAUGAACGCUAGCGACAGGCUUAACACAUGCAAGUCGAGGGGCAGCGGGGGGAGUAGCAAUACUCCCGCCGGCGACCGGCGCACGGGUGAGUAACACGUAUGAAACCUGCCCGUAGCAGGGGGAUAAGCGGAAGAAAUUCCGUCUAAUACCGCGUAACAACCCGAGGAGGCAUCUCCUCGGGUUUAAAGGAGGCGAUUCCGGCUACGGAUGGUCAUGCGUCGCAUUAGCUAGUUGGCGGGGUAACGGCCCACCAAGGCGACGAUGCGUAGGGGUUCUGAGAGGAAGGUCCCCCACACUGGUACUGAGACACGGACCAGACUCCUACGGGAGGCAGCAGUGAGGAAUAUUGGUCAAUGGCCGCAGGGCUGAACCAGCCAAGUCGCGUGAGGGAUGACGGUCCUAUGGAUUGUAAACCUCUUUUGUCAGGGAGCAAAGGACGCCACGUGUGGUGUUUUGCGAGUACCUGAAGAAAAAGCAUCGGCUAACUCCGUGCCAGCAGCCGCGGUAAUACGGAGGAUGCGAGCGUUAUCCGGAUUUAUUGGGUUUAAAGGGUGCGCAGGCGGAAUGUCAAGUCAGCGGUAAAAUUUCGGGGCUCAACCCCGUCGUGCCGUUGAAACUGGCGUUCUUGAGUGAGCGAGAAGUAUGCGGAAUGCGUGGUGUAGCGGUGAAAUGCAUAGAUAUCACGCAGAACUCCGAUUGCGAAGGCAGCAUACCGGUGCUCAACUGACGCUCAUGCACGAAAGCGUGGGUAUCGAACAGGAUUAGAUACCCUGGUAGUCCACGCAGUAAACGAUGAAUACUAACUGUCCGGGCCGAUUGAGGUCUGGGUGGUACAGCGAAAGCGUUAAGUAUUCCACCUGGGGAGUACGCCGGCAACGGUGAAACUCAAAGGAAUUGACGGGGGCCCGCACAAGCGGAGGAACAUGUGGUUUAAUUCGAUGAUACGCGAGGAACCUUACCCGGGCUCAAACGACGGAUGAAUGUUUCUGAAAGGAGGCAGCCCUUCGGGGCAUCCGUCGAGGUGCUGCAUGGUUGUCGUCAGCUCGUGCCGUGAGGUGUCGGCUUAAGUGCCAUAACGAGCGCAACCCCCAUCGCCAGUUACCAGCAAGUAAAGUUGGGGACUCUGGCGAGACUGCCGGCGCAAGCUGUGAGGAAGGCGGGGAUGACGUCAAAUCAGCACGGCCCUUACGUCCGGGGCGACACACGUGUUACAAUGGCAGGUACAGAGAGAUGCGAUGCGGCGACGCAGAGCGGAACUUCAAAGCCUGUCUCAGUUCGGAUUGGAGUCUGCAACCCGACUCCAUGAAGCUGGAUUCGCUAGUAAUCGCGCAUCAGCCACGGCGCGGUGAAUACGUUCCCGGGCCUUGUACACACCGCCCGUCAAGCCAUGGAAGCCGGGAGUGCCUGAAGUGUGCAACCGCAAGGAGCGCCCUAAGGUAAAACCGGUGACUGGGGCUAAGUCGUAACAAGGUAACCAA